RNAcentral lists this ribosomal RNA (497 nucleotides) under uncultured bacterium. Its description in RNAcentral is "partial 16S ribosomal RNA". It matches the Rfam family "Bacterial small subunit ribosomal RNA", at positions 28 to 507 of the family's 1533-position model. The record is from RNAcentral.
GAUGAACGCUGGCGGCGUGCCUAAUACAUGCAAGUCGAGCGAACAGAUGAGGAGCUUGCUCCUCUGACGUUAGCGGCGGGCGGGUGAGUAACACGUGGAUAACCUACCUAUAAGACUGGGAUAACUUCGGGAAACCGGAGCUAAUACCGGAUAAUAUAUUGAACCGCAUGGUUCAAUAGUGAAAGACGGUUUUGCUGUCACUUAUAGAUGGAUCCGCGCCGCAUUAGCUAGUUGGUAAGGUAACGGCUUACCAAGGCAACGAUGCGUAGCCGACCUGAGAGGGUGAUCGGCCACACUGGAACUGAGACACGGUCCAGACUCCUACGGGAGGUAGCAGUAGGGAAUCUUCCGCAAUGGGCGAAAGCCUGACGGAGCAACGCCGCGUGAGUGAUGAAGGUCUUCGGAUCGUAAAACUCUGUUAUUAGGGAAGAACAAAUGUGUAAGUAACUAUGCACGUCUUGACGGUACCUAAUCAGAAAGCCACGGCUAACUACGUG